AGUGUACCAGGCAUUGCUCUAACCGUUUUACACAUUUACAUGCUAUAACUCCAAAAUUAUCGUUACCCCCUUUUACGAAUGAAGAGACUAAGACCUAGAAAUGUGAAGUACAUUUACCUGAACUCAUCACCUUCCCACCCCCAUCCCAUCGACUCUGUGCUGUAUCCUGAACCGGCUGACAGAACAAUGAUGUAGACUUGACUUGUUUUCGCCAACCUGGAAUGAAGCAAAGCUCUUGUGCACCCAAGAUCUGCUCUCUGUUGUAAAUCCUGUUCAGACCUGGUCUAAUUGGUUUGAAUAAAUAAAGAACCGGAAUCUUUCUCAUCC
Long non-coding RNA from Homo sapiens (human), 327 nucleotides. Ensembl annotates it as STIM2 antisense RNA 1. Its record names the gene STIM2-AS1. Lineage: Eukaryota; Metazoa; Chordata; Mammalia; Primates; Hominidae. The record is from Ensembl.